RNAcentral lists this ribosomal RNA (589 nucleotides) under uncultured bacterium. RNAcentral describes it as "bacterial SSU rRNA". It matches the Rfam family "Bacterial small subunit ribosomal RNA", at positions 44 to 601 of the family's 1533-position model. The record is from RNAcentral.
GUGCCUCAAACAUGCAAGUCUAACGCGAGGUAUUUUUCUUCGGAAUUUUACCUUGAGUGGCGCACGGGUGAGUAACACGUGGGCAAUCUACCUUUGGGUGGGGAAUAUCAGCUGGAAACGGUUGUUAAUACCGCAUAAAGCAACUAAUUCUUCGGACAGUUAUUUGUUAAAGCGUGGGAUUUAUUUAUACACCAUGCACCAAAAGAGGACCCCGCGGCGGAUUAGCUAGUUGGUGAGGUAACGACUCACCGGGGCCGUGAUCCGUAGCCGGCCUGAGAGGGCGGACGGCCACACUGACACUGAAAUACGGGUCACACUCCUACGGGAGGCAGCAGUCGGUUUUUUUGGGCGAUGGGCGCGAAGCCUGACCCACCAACGCCGCGUGAAGGAUGAAAUCCCUCGGGAUGUAAACUUCAUAAGAUCGGAAAGAAUAGGGUGCGGCAAAUAGCUACACACCGAUGACGGUACUGAUUGUACGCUCCGGCUAACCCCGUGCCAGCAGCCGCGGUAAUACGGGGGGAGCAAGCGUUGUUCUUAUUUACUGGGCGUAAAGGGCGCGUAGGCGGCUUAUCAAGUCACUUGUGAAAUC